This 119-nucleotide ribosomal RNA is filed under the name Helianthus annuus (common sunflower). Lineage: Eukaryota; Viridiplantae; Streptophyta; Magnoliopsida; Asterales; Asteraceae. The record is from RNAcentral.
GGUUGCGAUCAUACCAGCACUAAUGCACCGGAUCCCAUCAGAACUCCGCAGUUAACCGUGCUUGGGCGAGAGUAGUACUAGGAUGGGUGACCCCCUGGGAAGUCCUCGUGUUGCAACCC